This 433-nucleotide ribosomal RNA is filed under the name uncultured bacterium. RNAcentral's name for it is "partial 16S ribosomal RNA". It matches the Rfam family "Bacterial small subunit ribosomal RNA", at positions 29 to 507 of the family's 1533-position model. The record is from RNAcentral.
AACGAACGCUGGCGGCAUGCCUAACACAUGCAAGUCGAACGAGACCUUCGGGUCUAGUGGCGCAAGGGUGCGUAACGCGUGGGAACCUGCCCUUAGGUUCGGAAUAACUCCCCGAAAGGGGUGCUAAUACCGGAUAAUGUCUUCGGACCAAAGAUUUAUCGCCUUUGGAUGGGCCCGCGUUGGAUUAGCUAGUUGGUAGGGUAAAAGCCUACCAAGGCGACGAUCCAUAGCUGGUCUGAGAGGAUGAUCAGCCACACUGGGACUGAGACACGGCCCAGACUCCUACGGGAGGUAGCAGUGGGGAAUAUUGGACAAUGGGCGAAAGCCUGAUCCAGCAAUGCCGCAUGAGUGAUGAAGGCCUUAGGGUUGUAAAGCUCUUUUACCCGGGAUGAUAAUGACAGUACCGGGAGAAUAAGCUCCGGCUAACUCCGUG